UGGCGGCGUGCUAUACAUCCCAGUGCUUAGAAUGGAUUGAGAGCUUGCUCUCAUGAAGUUAGCGGCGGACGGGUGAGUAACACGUGGGUAACCUGCCCAUAAGACUGGGAUAACUCCGGGAAACCGGGGCUAAUACCGGAUAANAUUUUGAACUGCAUGGUUCGAAAUUGAAAGGCGGCUUCGGCUGUCACUUAUGGAUGGACCCGCGUCGCAUUAGCUAGUUGGUGAGGUAACGGCUCACCAAGGCAACGAUGCGUAGCCGACCUGAGAGGGUGAUCGGCCACACUGGGACUGAGACACGGCCCAGACUCCUACGGGAGGCAGCAGUAGGGAAUCUUCCGCAAUGGACGAAAGUCUGACGGAGCAACGCCGCGUGAGUGAUGAAGGCUUUCGGGUCGUAAAACUCUGUUGUUAGGGAAGAACAAGUGCUAGUUGAAUAAGCUGGCACCUUGACGGUACCUAACCAGAAAGCCACGGCUAACUACGUGCCAGCAGCCGCGGUAAUACGUAGGUGGCAAGCGUUAUCCGGAAUUAUUGGGCGUAAAGCGCGCGCAGGUGGUUUCUUAAGUCUGAUGUGAAAGCCCACGGGCUCAACCGUGGAGGGUCAUUGGAAACUGGGAGACUUGAGUGCGAAGAGGAAAGUGGAAUUCCUGUGUAGCGGUGAAAUGCGUNGAGAUUGGGGAACACCAGUGGCGAAGGCGACUUNCUGGUCUGUACUGACCUGAGGCGCGAAG
Molecule: ribosomal RNA, 734 nt
Filed under: Bacillus sp. UST050418-581
Lineage: Bacteria; Bacillati; Bacillota; Bacilli; Caryophanales; Bacillaceae
Description: bacterial SSU rRNA
Rfam family: Bacterial small subunit ribosomal RNA
Source: RNAcentral